GCGGGCGUAGCUCAGUGGCUAGAGCAUCACGUUGCCAACGUGAAAGUCGUGGGUUCGAAUCCCAUCGCCCGCU
RNAcentral lists this transfer RNA (73 nucleotides) under Pirellulaceae bacterium. RNAcentral describes it as "tRNA-Gly". It matches the Rfam family "tRNA". Rfam says of the family: Transfer RNA (tRNA) molecules are approximately 80 nucleotides in length. The record is from RNAcentral. Lineage: Bacteria; Pseudomonadati; Planctomycetota; Planctomycetia; Pirellulales; Pirellulaceae.